GGCGCUUUGGGAGCGGCCUACGUAUGAUUAGUUUGUUGGUGAGGUAAAAGCUCACCAAGACUACGAUCAUUAGCUGGUCUAAGAGGAUGAUCAGCCAGACUGGAACUGAGACACGGUCCAGACUCCUACGGGAGGCAGCAGUAGGGAAUCUUCCACAAUGGACGAAAGUCUGAUGGAGCAACGCCGCGUGCAGGAUGAAGGCUUUCGAGUCGUAAACUGCUUUUAUGAGUGAAGAUUUUGACGGUAACUCAUGAAUAAGGAUCGGCUAACUCCGUGCCAGCAGCCGCGGUCAUACGGAGGAUCCAAGCGUUAUCCGGAAUUACUGGGCGUAAAGAGAUGCGUAGGUGGUUUUUUAAGCAAAAUGUGAAAUCACGGGGCUCAACCUCGUGGCUGUAUUUUGAACUGAUCAACUUGAGAAUGGUAGAGGUAACUGGAAUUCCUAGUGUAGGAGUGAUAUCCGUAGAUAUUAGGAGGAACACCAAUGGCGAAGGCAGGUUACUGGGCCAUUUCUGACACUGAGGCUCGAAAGCGUGGGGAGCGAACCGGAUUAGAUACCCGGGUAGUCCACGCCGUAAACUAUGGAUGCUAGCUGUUGGUCGUAUCGACCCGAUCAGUAGCGAAGCUAACGCGUUAAGCAUCCCGCCUGUGGAGUACGAGCGCAAGCUUAAAACAUAAAGGAAUUGACGGGGACCCGCACAAGCGGUGGAGCGUGUUGUUUAAUUCGAUGAUAAGCGAAGAACCUUACCCAGACUUGACUUCCUUGGAAGGACUGCGAAAGCAGACUGUGCCUUUUGGAACCAAGUGACAGGUGUUGCAUGGCCGUCGUCAGCUCGUGUCGUGAGAUGUUUGGUUAAGUCCAUUAACGAGCGCAACCCUUAUAGUUAGUUGUAUUUUUCUAGCUAGACU
This 906-nucleotide ribosomal RNA is filed under the name marine sediment metagenome. RNAcentral's name for it is "bacterial SSU rRNA". It matches the Rfam family "Bacterial small subunit ribosomal RNA", at positions 214 to 1150 of the family's 1533-position model. The record is from RNAcentral.